This 1272-nucleotide long non-coding RNA is filed under the name Eutrema salsugineum. RNAcentral describes it as "long non-coding RNA (ESAL_LNC000604)". The record is from RNAcentral. Lineage: Eukaryota; Viridiplantae; Streptophyta; Magnoliopsida; Brassicales; Brassicaceae.
ACAAACAACAAUAGUCAUAUUUUAUUAUAUUGUUUUAAGUAUAUUUGCAUAAGAUUUGUGAUUAUUAAUUUCUGUUUUUGUUGGGACUAUAUGUUAAUAUAAAAAAAUUAUUUUAUUAAAUUUAAUAUAUUUUUACAUUAAUUGAAAUAAAAAAUUUAUUAUCUUAUAAUAAUUAUUAAUUUAUCGAAUAUUAAUUUAUAUAAAUUUUAUUAUAUCUUUCUUAUAUAUAGGCAGUAUUAAACGCCUAAGGGUUUUCAAUAGAUUGGUCGGCAUCUAGAGACCGUCGUGUGUGGUGGAUCUCGUUGUAUCAGUGGUUGUAGUAGUAUUACAAAACGUCAAAACCUCAUCCUUGGUGUCUUUUUCAGGAUGGUGGGUUGUAAUCAUUUGUGUGCAAGCGGUACUGCCUUGGGAUUGCGCAGUGGUGGAAAGGUUUUGCUUGUCAUUCCUUUUUGGUCUUGGUGUUUGUAGGAUUAAGCCUUGUUUUCCUUCACUGCUGCUCGCUCUUACCAUAUAUUUAUAUCUCUUUCUCUCUUUUGGUGUCUUCCGAUUGUUGAGAUUUCUGUUUUCCUUUUUGAGGCUUAGGUUUCUUCAUUGGGUUAGGUUUCUUUCUUCAAUGGGUUAAGUUUCUUUUCUUCAAUUAAAUGAAUAAAUUUUGGUGGGAGAUAGAGCUUGUGUUUGGGGGUUUUCCCCUUGCUAGUUCUUCAUUUUUGAGAUUUAAGCUUAGCUGGUUGGUUUGUUUAUCUUGUUGUGACGAUUAGAAGAUUUUUGCAGUUUUUGUUUAUCUGACGGUCUAUUGAGCAAGAUAAACUUGACAAAGGUAAAUCAUACAAGGAGGUUCAUCAAAGUCGGAGAAUGGCAAGUUUUGUAUUUGAGUUAUGGCCAAAUAUGUGUUAGGAGAUUAUCUUUAAAACAUAUUGUACGGAAAAAAUCCGAAACAAAGCUAUAAAUGGUAAUUAUUAAUGUAUCAUGAAAAAUCUCAUCCUUAUCCAUUUAUAGGUUUAAGAAAAUCCAAUGAUUUUCUUUGCGUUGAUUCGUUUCUCAUGUCUUGGCAGUCUUGCAAUCCUUUUCAAGCAAUAUAAUCAGUCUCGGGUUUAUAAUCGAUAUUUACAGUACUAUAUAAGUCAGGUCUUAUCAUCUUCAAACUUAUCUCGUUUGGUGAAAGCUUUUUAAAUAUGGUGUAUCAGUUUUUUUGUCCAUCUAUUGUAUAUACUUAAUUAUGAUUUCUCUAAAAAAUAACAGUUGGGGAUCAUUUGUUGAUGACGAAUAUAAUAU